Molecule: ribosomal RNA, 253 nt
Filed under: uncultured bacterium
Lineage: Bacteria
Description: partial 16S ribosomal RNA
Rfam family: Bacterial small subunit ribosomal RNA
Source: RNAcentral
UACGAAGGGUGCUAGCGUUGUUCGGAAUUACUGGGCGUAAAGCGCGCGUAGGCGGCCGUACUCGUCAGGGGUGAAAUCCCGGGGCUUAACCCCGGAACUGCCUCUGAAACUGUGCGGCUGGAGUGUGUGAGGGGAUAGCGGAAUUCCUAAUGUAGAGGUGAAAUUCGUAGAUAUUAGGAGGAACACCGGUGGCGAAGGCGGCUAUCUGGCACACAACUGACGCUGAGGCGCGAAAGCGUGGGGAGCAAACAGG